Molecule: non-coding RNA, 29 nt
Filed under: Mus musculus (house mouse)
Lineage: Eukaryota; Metazoa; Chordata; Mammalia; Rodentia; Muridae
Source: RNAcentral
UACAGGAAAGCUGGCCUCUGCCUGGGCAU